Non-coding RNA from Oryza glumipatula, 200 nucleotides. The record is from Rfam. Lineage: Eukaryota; Viridiplantae; Streptophyta; Magnoliopsida; Poales; Poaceae.
UUUAAUUGCAGUUGUGGGUUGUAGUGUCCAACAUUUUAUCGUCUUAUUUGAUUUUUUUAUUAUUAUUAUUUUUAUUGUUAUUAGAUGAUAAAACAUGAAUAAUAUUUUAUAUGUGACUUAUUUUUUUCAUUUUUUUAUAAAAUUUUCAAAUAAGAUGAACGGUCAAACGUUGGACAUAGAAAUCUACAACUGCACUUAAA